CAGCAAGGUCAAAAGCUGCUGCUUUGUUUUGUCCUGGAUUUUGCACCUUCUGAAGGGAGACAGAGAUGGUGUUAUCUCUGAGAGUGAGUUUAGAGGCUUUGCUGGACAACCUUUGGCAAGUGCAGGGUGGAGCAGGCAGGGAGCCUGCAGCUGGCGUGCAAAUCAGUGAGAAAACAGAGAGCACAGACACAGAGGUGACAGAAAGGAAACUUUCAGAGACAGUCAGAGGGAGUCUGCUGCAAUCCACUGUGAAAACUGUAGGAUGGAGAACAAGGGAACAACGUUGGCACACCUACCUCAUGUCUCUGGCUGACUCAGCGUCACAUCGACUUGCAAUUUUCACAAUGAACCUCUCAGACACAGGACAAGAGAAGAGACUUAGCACGCUGCCAGUCUAUAUCCAGAAGAACUGAAGUGGAAGAAGACUUACAGUUUCCCAAAACAGGGAAGGGGAUAUCAAG
Molecule: long non-coding RNA, 461 nt
Filed under: Zonotrichia albicollis (white-throated sparrow)
Lineage: Eukaryota; Metazoa; Chordata; Aves; Passeriformes; Passerellidae
Description: lncRNA (ENSZALG00000016616.1)
Source: RNAcentral